UGGGGAAUCUUGCGCAAUUGGCGAAAGCCUGACGCAGCGACGCCGUGUGCGGGAAGAAGGCCUUCGGGUUGUAAACCGCUUUCAGGAGGGACGAAGCCACUCAGGUUAAUAGCCGAGACGGUGACGGUACCUCCAGAAGAAGCCCCGGCUAACUACGUGCCAGCAGCCGCGGUAAUACGUAGGGGGGUAGCGUUGUCCGGAUUUAUUGGGCGUAAAGAGCGUGUAGGCGGCCGAGUAAGUCCGGUGUGAAAACUCGAGGCUUAACCUCGAGAUGUCAGCGGAAACGAUUCGGGUAGAGUCCGGAAGAGGAGAGUGGAAGUCCUGGUGUAGCGGUGAAAUGCGCAGAUAUCAGGAAGAACACCUAUGGCGAAAGCAGCUCUCUGGGACGGUACUGACGCUGAGACGCGAAAGCGUGGGGAGCGAACAGG
RNAcentral lists this ribosomal RNA (428 nucleotides) under bacterium. RNAcentral describes it as "partial 16S ribosomal RNA". It matches the Rfam family "Bacterial small subunit ribosomal RNA", at positions 355 to 776 of the family's 1533-position model. The record is from RNAcentral.